Molecule: ribosomal RNA, 253 nt
Filed under: uncultured bacterium
Lineage: Bacteria
Description: partial 16S ribosomal RNA
Rfam family: Bacterial small subunit ribosomal RNA
Source: RNAcentral
UACGUAUGGAGCAAGCGUUAUCCGGAUUUACUGGGUGUAAAGGGAGCGUAGGCGGCCCUGUAAGUCUGAUGUGAAAAUUUGGGGCUCAACCCCAAACGUGCAUUGGAAACUGCAGGGCUUGAGUGCCGGAGAGGCAGGCGGAAUUCCUAGUGUGGCGGUGAAAUGCGUAGAUAUUAGGAGGAACACCAGUGGCGAAGGCGGCCUGCUGGACGGUAACUGACGCUGAGGCUCGAAAGCGUGGGGAGCAAACAGG